Molecule: long non-coding RNA, 2414 nt
Filed under: Homo sapiens (human)
Lineage: Eukaryota; Metazoa; Chordata; Mammalia; Primates; Hominidae
Description: HSALNT0318422
Source: RNAcentral
UUUCUGCAUUAAUUUUCUUAGGAUAAUGGCCUCCAGCUUCAUCCAUAUUGCUGCAAAAAAAUGUGAUUUUAAUGUUUUUUAUGGCUGAGUAUACUUUCAGUCCAAUUAGAUUAUUUCCUUUCUGCAAGAAUCAUUGUCCAUUUUUAACAUUCAGUUGAGUCUAGGAAACUUGCAUAAUUUUUAUUCCACAUUUUUCUUCUUGAAAAAAAGACUUGGACUUUCUAAUUCCAUCUUAGCCUAGUGGAUAGAGUAAAUACUCCGGAAAUAAAAAGUGCCAGACAAGGGUCUUUAGUAGAAUGAGGAGCAUGGCACAGAGAGAACCUUCUUCAAUGAUGCUACAAAUCUUCAGUAAAAACUCCCAUGUGCGCUCCCGCACACACAAACACACAAACACACACACUCUUACUUAUUUGGAUUUCUUGUUAAAGAUUAUUAUUUUGUAGCUAGAUAAUAAUGGAACAAAACAGUCAGUGUGUGUGGUGGAGAGAACUGAUUGUAUCUGUAAUGCAUGAGCGUUAACUAGAGUCAUUCAUGUACAAAGGUUAAAAACGAUGUGGUAUACAGGCAAAGGAGGAUAUGUGCAUUUUCACUGGAUCUUGUUGUUUGGGCACCUGAGACAAGCUGGCAGUCACUAAAUCUCAGCGAUCACUCAAUGUGUGCCAGGCAUUCGCACACAAUAUCACUAACACCCAUGACAGUCCUUCAAGAGAGGUUCUGCUGUCUGAGAGAUUAUGUGACACGCCUAAGGUCACAGGAUCAGCAAAUACUAGGGCUGAGAUUUAAACCCAGAACUGUCUACUGCCAAAGCUUUUGCGCUCUCCCUCGUGCCACGUUGCUUCUCAUUUUGGGCUUGGUCUCCACUUCCCAGUCCUUGAAGGAGUUCUCCAGGUCUGCCCCAUUAGCACUGCAUCUCAGAAGGAAGCUGCAGCUGCGCCGCCAAUCUCCCGGUGGUAGGUGCUUAAUAAACAUUAUGAAGUGCAUGAACAAAUGAAUAGCCCCUGAUGGACAGACAUGCUUGAGAAACACUAUUUUUCACAUUCCUAUCUACACUCAAGAUUUUACCUAUGAUAGCAGGCUGAAGAUUCCCAGGAUCUUACAUCCUAGCAGGCAAUGCCUCUGCAUCCUCAUCAGCGAAACCGGAUUGAUCUUGCCUGCUUCCCUGGCUUUGAUGGAUGCAACAGAAGAAUAUAUGCAGAAGUCCCUAAUGCAGUGCCUGAUGCAUGAUAAAUGCUCAAAUAUAACAGACAGAAAAUCUGUGUAUGUUGUAUAAGCCCUGCAGUGUGUGGUACUUUGCUUCAACAGCCAAAGCAAAUGAAUACAGCCUCCAUGGUAGGCAAUGGGACAAGGAUUCAGCAUUCAGGAUCCUACCUGUGUCUUCUUCAGGAGCCCUAACAGUUCAGCUGAGCUGAAAGGAUGAGGAGGAAGCCCUUGGCGAUGGAACUUCUAGACAAGCCAAGGCCUGCCUGGCAGAGCUGGGAGCAGAUUGAGGAAGACACCACUGCCCCUCCACCCACCCCGCCGCCGCCUUCAUGUUGCCUUGAUCUUCUAUCCUCAGCUGACAUUUUUGUCGCUCAUCUCUGAUUGAAGAAACCUCAGUUUCUUAUUUGAUCUUUCCUGGACAACCGUUUAAUAGGCAGCAAGAAAAAGAGAUGAGAGAAAGUGAUUUUUCAUCCCUGACUUGACAUGAUAUUUUCCUUUUAACAAUUUAUCCAUACCUCUCCUCUCAGUUUCUCUCCUUUCAUAUACUCACAUACUAUCUGCCUCUCUGCAUAGCAAAGCAACCUUUUGAGCAGUUCUCUAAGAAGAUUCUAAAAAGCAAGGAAAAAGCAGGAUCACAAUAGCUCCUUCCCCAGUUCAAUUCAGCAAGCUUUUCUGAGCACCAGUCCAGAUGCAAGGCACAAUGAGAGGCAAGAUGAAGAAUGGGGGUUACUCUAUCCUCAUCGGACCAAUUUAGAAUCCAGUACAUGCACAUACAGGAAAAAUCCAAUGUGUUCAUCAUCUGUGUGUUCCAUAAUCAUUUACUGAGCACCUUUUAUCAAAAAGAGAAACCAUUUUUAAAGUAAACUGGAUUCUCUAUUAUAACAACAGUGAAGUUUGGCAAAAUGUUUUCCUCAUGUGAAGGCUUGAAUUUAAAGAAUUUUAAUUUAUGUUCAUUAUGAUUCAAUCCAACAUUUGUCUUUUUGUAUGUAUUAGAUCUUGCGAGGGACACAAAGAUAAUCAAGUUGUGGAUCUAGGUCUUAAGACGUAUAAAAUUGAGUGGGUCUAUGUCUUCCAAUACACAAAGUCAAGUGGAGAGACAUAAAUAACACUAACUUCAGUGCAAUGUAUACUAAAGGAUACGGAAUGACUUAUUCAGCAGCUACUAUGUGCCUGGUGCUUUACCCAUAUGAUUAAUAAAGCAUCUUUUGGUGAUA